ACACCGGCGGCCCGAGUGGUAGCCGUUAUUAUUGGGUUUAAAGGGUCCGUAGCCGGCCUAUUAAGUCUCUUGGGAAAUCUGGCGACUCAAUCGUCAGGCGUUCAAGAGAUACUGUUAGGCUUGGGACCGGGAGAGGUGGGAGGUACUCCAGGGGUAGGGGUGAAAUCUCGUAAUCCUUGGGGGACCACCGAUGGCGAAGGCAUCCCACCAGAACGGGUCCGACGGUGAGGGACGAAAGCUGGGGGCACGAACCGGAUUAGAUACCCGGGUAGUCCCAGCUGUAAACGAUGCUCGCUAGGUGUCAGGUGCGGUGCGACCGCAUCUGGUGCCGUAGUGAAAACUUGAAGCGAGUCACCUGGGAAGUACGGUCGCAAGGCUGAA
Molecule: ribosomal RNA, 381 nt
Filed under: uncultured archaeon
Lineage: Archaea
Description: bacterial SSU rRNA
Rfam family: Archaeal small subunit ribosomal RNA
Source: RNAcentral